GAAGGUCACGGCGAGACGAGCCGUUUAUCAUUACGAAUUACGAUAGGUGUCAAGUGGAAGUGCAGUGAUGUAUGCAGCUGAGGCAUCCUAACAGACCGAUAGACUUGAAC
This 110-nucleotide ribosomal RNA is filed under the name Nepenthes khasiana. RNAcentral's name for it is "4.5S ribosomal RNA". The record is from RNAcentral. Lineage: Eukaryota; Viridiplantae; Streptophyta; Magnoliopsida; Caryophyllales; Nepenthaceae. RNAcentral also lists the same sequence under 4 other names.